RNAcentral lists this ribosomal RNA (438 nucleotides) under uncultured bacterium. RNAcentral describes it as "bacterial SSU rRNA". It matches the Rfam family "Bacterial small subunit ribosomal RNA", at positions 29 to 514 of the family's 1533-position model. The record is from RNAcentral.
AGCGAACGCUGGCGGCAGGCCUAAUACAUGCAAGUCGAGCGGGUCCUUCGGGAUUAGCGGCGGACGGGUGAGUAACGCGUGGAACGUGCCCUUUGGUACGGAACAACUGAGGGAAACUUCAGCUAAUACCGUAUGUGCCCUUCGGGGAAAGAUUUAUCGCCAUUGGAGCGGCCCGCGUUGGAUUAGGUAGUUGGUGAGGUAAAGGCUCACCAAGCCUACGAUCCAUAGCUGGUCUGAGAGGAUGACCCAGCCACACUGGGACUGAGACACGGCCCAGACUCCUACGGAGGCAGCAGUAGGGAAUCUUGCGCAAUGGGCGAAAGCCUGACGCAGCCAUGCCGCGUGAAUGAUGAAGGUCUUAGGAUUGUAAAAUUCUUUCACCGGGGACGAUAAUGACGGUACCCGGAGAAGAAGCCCCGGCUAACUUCGUGCCAGCAG